CAAAGGAACAAAGAAGGAACUCC
This 23-nucleotide non-coding RNA is filed under the name Cricetulus griseus (Chinese hamster). Lineage: Eukaryota; Metazoa; Chordata; Mammalia; Rodentia; Cricetidae. The record is from RNAcentral.